Molecule: unclassified non-coding RNA, 258 nt
Filed under: Hevea brasiliensis (rubber tree)
Lineage: Eukaryota; Viridiplantae; Streptophyta; Magnoliopsida; Malpighiales; Euphorbiaceae
Source: RNAcentral
UGAUGAUCGAGCUUACUAUUUUGGCCCAGAGUGGGGUCAAGGGGUGAUCCUCAAAACAGUGACCCGAUUGAGUUGUGGUAAUGGGAAGUCAAAAUUUGAUGUAGAUUAUAGUGGGGACCGAUGGGGUGGGGAUAGAUUUUGGAAUAAAAUGCCUACGUUUGGACAGAAUUCAGAUAAAGCUAUAUCUACUGAAAAUAGCAUUAAGAAGGCUUCAAAUGCACCAAACUUCUACCCGGAAGCUCUUUAUCAGACUGCCCU